RNAcentral lists this ribosomal RNA (86 nucleotides) under uncultured bacterium. RNAcentral's name for it is "partial 16S ribosomal RNA". It matches the Rfam family "Bacterial small subunit ribosomal RNA", at positions 404 to 507 of the family's 1533-position model. The record is from RNAcentral.
UGUGAUGAAGGCCUUCGGGUUGUAAAGCACUUUUGUCAGGGACGAUGAUGACGGUACCUGACGAAUAAGCUCCAGCUAACUUCGUG